Anguilla anguilla (European eel) is the source of this 1200-nucleotide long non-coding RNA. RefSeq lists it as uncharacterized. The transcript is spliced from 3 exons. The record is from RefSeq and is a predicted model, not a curated record. Lineage: Eukaryota; Metazoa; Chordata; Actinopteri; Anguilliformes; Anguillidae.
CUGCCUGGUAAUUUUCCACUUGUUCGUGUCCCAGAUACUCAGUGCUUGCUGAAAACUGAGUUGCGACAAAGAAGAUCUCAUGAAGAAGACCUUGAAUUUUAAAGAUGUUCUGUCUGUAUAAAUAUUCUAAAUAUAGCUGGCUGUAAAAUAGUAUGUGCUCAGUGUUCGAAUAGAUGUCCAAUUUUUUUUUGCCUACAGACAACGUCAAGAAGCAGCAAUCACCUCAUCAUCUCUGGAUGAGGAACGGUACAGUGGGGUCCAUUUACGGGAGUUUUACAGCGGAAAGUUCCGGGCUGUGUUUGUCAGACCCCCCCUCAGGGUCUGCUGUCCACAGGCCUGAUUCUGGGGUAAACGGAGUGAAAUGUCCUUGCGAUGAUGCACAGAGGAGGAGGUGCCACCUCCAAACCCUCCAACCAACCCUAGAGGAUGGACUGAACUGCACUGCUUCGUGGAUCUUUAUCAGGAACAUACAAAACACACCGUGGGGGUUGCCAGGACAACAGGACAUAUUCCUGCAGGAGCUGGCUGUCGUGGAAACCACAGUAUAUGAAGUCCUGCAGGAAAUUUCUGCGGCUUCACAGACCACACAUCCCAGAGGACAUCUCAGAGUCCUCUCCCUAACACAGGAACUAUUUGUCUACUGCUAACCUGUAAACAACAAGCACAUUACAGUUUAGCUGUACCCCACACCUUCACUACAUCAGUGUGCCAUGAAUGAAAGGCCUCUGAGUGUUUGGGGGUUUAUAAUGUUUCUGUGUUAGUUAGUGAAUUAACACUAUGCUUUCAUAGUUCUCUAAUUGUGUGUUUAGAAUGGAAAUGUUUACAUGUAAAUGUUAAGUGCUUCCAAUGAAUAAUUUACUGUGAUGAAUACAAAAAAUUGCAUAUAAUUAUGUAGAUUUAUGUAUAAUUAUGUUUGACUCCUACUCUCACAGUAUGUGUUGCACAGAUGUGUGCAUAGAUGUGUAAAUAGUUUACGGACUGCUUCUGUAAAUCUCCAUGUGAGUAACGGUUACGCAUGAAGGGAAUGCAAUGUAGUGGAUCAUGCACAAUAUUAAUAUAGAAUUUUAUCGAAAAGAUGUGGACAGUAGUCUUAGGUUUGAGUCUUCAUGCACUCAGUAAAUAACAGCACAUUUUAUAAUGACUGAUUAAACUGAAAAAUUUUGUUACUUGAUGAGAACAUAUUAAAAUCAUUCAAACUAA